RNAcentral lists this unclassified non-coding RNA (212 nucleotides) under soil metagenome. RNAcentral describes it as "partial contains 5.8S ribosomal RNA, internal transcribed spacer 2, and large subunit ribosomal RNA". The record is from RNAcentral.
AACGAGGCCGACCUGCGGCUGAGUUACCUGCGGAGGGAUCAUUACCGAGUUUACAACUCCCAAACCCCUGUGAACAUACCUAUACGUUGCCUCGGCGGAUCAGCCCGCGCCCUGUAAAAAGGGACGGCCCGCCCGAGGACCCCUAAACUCUGUUUUUAGUGGAACUUCUGAGUAAAACAAACAAAUAAAUCAAAACUUUUAACAACGGAUCU